RNAcentral lists this ribosomal RNA (796 nucleotides) under uncultured archaeon. Its description in RNAcentral is "bacterial SSU rRNA". It matches the Rfam family "Archaeal small subunit ribosomal RNA", at positions 85 to 879 of the family's 1478-position model. The record is from RNAcentral.
ACUGCUCAGUAACACGUGGAUAACCUGCCCUUGGGUCCGGCAUAACCCCGGGAAACUGGGGAUAAUUCCGGAUAACGCACAUAUGCUGGAAUGCUUUAUGCGUAAAAUGGAUUCGUCUGCCCAAGGAUGGGUCUGCGGCCUAUCAGGUAGUAGUGGGUGUAAUGUACCUACUAGCCAACAACGGGUACGGGUUGUGAGAGCAAGAGCCCGGAGAUGGAUUCUGAGACAUGAAUCCAGGCCCUACGGGGCGCAGCAGGCGCGAAAACUUUACAAUGCGGGAAACCGUGAUAAGGGGACACCGAGUGCCAGCAUCAUAUGCUGGCUGUUCGGGUGUGUAAAAUACACCUGUCAGCAAGGGCCGGGCAAGACCGGUGCCAGCCGCCGCGGUAACACCGGCGGCCCGAGUGGUGAUCGUGAUUAUUGGGUCUAAAGGGUCCGUAGCCGGUUUGGUCAGUCCUCCGGGAAAUCUGACGGCUCAACCGUUAGGCUUUCGGGGGAUACUGCCAGGCUUGGAACCGGGAGAGGUAAGAGGUACUACAGGGGUAGGAGUGAAAUCUUGUAAUCCCUGUGGGACCACCUGUGGCGAAGGCGUCUUACCAGAACGGGUUCGACGGUGAGGGACGAAAGCUGGGGGCACGAACCGGAUUAGAUACCCGGGUAGUCCCAGCCGUAAACGAUGCUCGCUAGGUGUCAGGCAUGGCGCGACCGUGUCUGGUGCCGCAGGGAAGCCGUGAAGCGAGCCACCUGGGAAGUACGGCCGCAAGGUUGAAACUUAAAGGAAUUGGCGGGGGAGCAC